UACGUAGGGUGCGAGCGUUAAUCGGAAUUACUGGGCGUAAAGCGUGCGCAGGCGGUUCGUUGUGUCGGUGGUGAAAGCCCCGGGCUUAACCUGGGAAUGGCCAUGGAAACUGGCGAACUGGAGUGUGGCAGAGGGGGGUGGAAUUCCGCGUGUAGCAGUGAAAUGCGUAGAGAUGCGGAGGAACACCGAUGGCGAAGGCAGCCCCCUGGGUCAAGAUUGACGCUCAUGCACGAAAGCGUGGGGAGCAAACAGG
Molecule: ribosomal RNA, 253 nt
Filed under: uncultured bacterium
Lineage: Bacteria
Description: partial 16S ribosomal RNA
Rfam family: Bacterial small subunit ribosomal RNA
Source: RNAcentral